Molecule: transfer RNA, 68 nt
Filed under: Sinomonas atrocyanea
Lineage: Bacteria; Bacillati; Actinomycetota; Actinomycetes; Micrococcales; Micrococcaceae
Description: tRNA-Arg
Source: RNAcentral
GGCGGUCGUCGUCGGCGCGGGGGCCGGUUCCUGCCCGGCCGCCGUGCGCUCGAUCCGCGCGGCGGCCG